This 484-nucleotide ribosomal RNA is filed under the name uncultured bacterium. RNAcentral's name for it is "partial 16S ribosomal RNA". It matches the Rfam family "Bacterial small subunit ribosomal RNA", at positions 29 to 507 of the family's 1533-position model. The record is from RNAcentral.
AUUGAACGCUGGCGGCAGGCCUAACACAUGCAAGUCGAGCGGAUGAAGGGAGCUUGCUCCUGGAUUCAGCGGCGGACGGGUGAGUAAUGCCUAGGAAUCUGCCUGGUAGUGGGGGAUAACGUCCGGAAACGGGCGCUAAUACCGCAUACGUCCUGAGGGAGAAAGUGGGGGAUCUUCGGACCUCACGCUAUCAGAUGAGCCUAGGUCGGAUUAGCUAGUUGGUGGGGUAAAGGCCUACCAAGGCGACGAUCCGUAACUGGUCUGAGAGGAUGAUCAGUCACAGGGGAAUGGAGAACGGGCCAAGCCCCUCAGGGGAGGAAGCGGGGGGGAAUAGUGGAAAAGGGGGAAAAUCUGAACCCAGCCAUGCGGGGGGUGGAAAGAAGGUUUGCGGAUUGUAAAGCUUUUUAGGUGGGGAGAAAGGGAAGUAGUUUAAUACCUUGCUGUUUUGACGUUACAAAAAAAAAAAGCCCCGGCUAACUGCGUC